Molecule: long non-coding RNA, 818 nt
Filed under: Gallus gallus (chicken)
Lineage: Eukaryota; Metazoa; Chordata; Aves; Galliformes; Phasianidae
Description: lncRNA (ENSGALG00010003226.1)
Source: RNAcentral
GCAGAACAUACACUCGAUAGCAGCACACGGAGGAGGAGCACUGCAAACUGGGGCUCUCGCUCUGCAGAGCUCUGGAGCCUGCGCUCCCCUUCAGAAUGAGGACAGUCGCCUUACAGCCGACUCUUCCAAUUCCUCUCGAGUUAUCCCGAGCUACCGAAAUCGGCGUGUGUGUUUUCGCGCUGAGUUGAUGUACCCCUUUUGGUUACAUUUCUACGAGUCGGACUAACGAGAACGGAGCCCUCCGCGUUUCUGCCGCUCUCCAUUCGCUCCUGCAGCCCCCCCCGGCCGUAGCGCUCCGUACGGACCCACCGGUCGGGCCCCGACGGCAGCGCACUGCGGGCAGCCCCGGCCGCAGCCCCUCCGCCGUUCUCUCUCCGUCCGAGGUCGUUUCUCUCUCUCUCCUUUGCAAACGUUUUCCUAAAAAUAAAACUUCCACAGAAAUGUUUUAAGACGAGGUUCGCGAGGAAACGGUUUAAUUUUCACCAUAUGUCGCCACAGAUUAAAGAAAAAAAAAAAAAAUCUUUCCGCUGAAGCUACCAAAACCAAAAAAAAAGACUUAAUCUAAGAAUGCGUUCUCCUUAAUCCGUCCUCCCCCCAACACCCUGUGGGCCAUUUUACGGGCUCCAAAUAAAUCUUUCAGGUGGCAGCGAGGCGAAGAAGCGGCGCAGUGAUGACGGAGGAGCAGCCCCUGCCCCGCGUUAAUGCCACCGACGGGUGGGUCCGCGGCAGCCGCCCACCGCCGGGACGGAGGGACCCAUCUGAAUGAAAAUCUAUUAGCCCUCCUCUCAGAGACGGGAGCCGCGGAAAUCGAUAAAGAG